GAUCCUGGCUCAGGACGAACGCUGGCGGCGUGCUUAACACAUGCAAGUCGAACGGAGCACCCUUGACUGAGGUUUCGGCCAAAUGAUAGGAAUGCUUAGUGGCGGACUGGUGAGUAACGCGUGAGGAACCUGCCUUUCAGAGGGGGACAACAGUUGGAAACGACUGCUAAUACCGCAUGACACAUAGGGAUCGCAUGGUCUUUAUGUCAAAGAUUUAUCGCUGAAAGAUGG
RNAcentral lists this ribosomal RNA (231 nucleotides) under uncultured bacterium. RNAcentral's name for it is "partial 16S ribosomal RNA". It matches the Rfam family "Bacterial small subunit ribosomal RNA", at positions 15 to 228 of the family's 1533-position model. The record is from RNAcentral.